Molecule: non-coding RNA, 24 nt
Filed under: Arabidopsis thaliana (thale cress)
Lineage: Eukaryota; Viridiplantae; Streptophyta; Magnoliopsida; Brassicales; Brassicaceae
Source: RNAcentral
CUGUUUGCACUACUUCAUGUACCU